CCUCGUGCUAGGCUGGGGCGUUAGUCGUGUCUUGUUACCGCAAAUCGACUUCAUGGCGGAGCUGAAGCCUGUGCUGAGGCGAUCACCUCGGCUGUACGAGUCGCGUUUGGACUGUCGAUCCUGCGUCCGUACUGGUGUGUUGCACGCUGAACCCUGUCAGGCCAGGAAUGGAGCAGCAGUAAGGUGUACAGUGCGCGUAGUGCGGGUCGCGCAGGGGAGGAAGAUUCGUGUCCCUCGAACAGUUUGGGGCCCGUCCAGGUACAGGUGUGCACGCUU
Molecule: signal recognition particle RNA, 276 nt
Filed under: Candidatus Woesearchaeota archaeon
Lineage: Archaea; Nanobdellati; Candidatus Woesearchaeota
Description: signal recognition particle sRNA
Rfam family: Archaeal signal recognition particle RNA
Source: RNAcentral